This 1590-nucleotide long non-coding RNA is filed under the name Mus musculus (house mouse). Its description in RNAcentral is "long non-coding RNA chr1:74954251-74955841". Lineage: Eukaryota; Metazoa; Chordata; Mammalia; Rodentia; Muridae. The record is from RNAcentral.
ACUGGGGCUGCAGAGAUGGCUCAGCAGUGAAGAGCACUUGCUGCGUUUUCAGAGGACCUGGGUUUAAGUUCCAGCAUCCAAGGCUCAGAACUGUCUCUGGUCUCAGGGUAUCCAACGCCCUCUUCUGACUUCUACAGGUACUGCAUACAUCUGGUGCAUAGACAAAAGUGUAGGAAAAACACACAUAUACUACUACUACUACUACUACUACUACUACUACUACUACUACUACUAAUAAUAAUAAUAAUAAUAAUAAUAAUAAUAAUAAUAAUUUAAAGAACUUAGACAAGUUUUUGGCUGCUGGUGUUCUUAGCCCCUCAGAUGUUGGGUGGCUUCUGAACUAAGCCAGUCCCUGAAUAAUAUAAAAAAGCCUAAUGCUUUUUCUGAUUAUCACCAAGCUGUUAGCAUUGUAAAGAGAUCUGAGAUGUCAUUCUGGAGGCACCGAUGGGAUGUCUGGGAUAUCUUUUUUCCUUUGCACUUAGAUCUCAUCUACACCUCAGUCAUCUCUAUCUUGAAACACAAAGACAAAUCUAUUUCUUUAGAAAUACAAUUUAUUUUGUGUUUAUGGGAGCAAAGGUUAGAAAAAUGAAUGUAAAGGACUGGAAGGGCUAACAAGAUGGCUCAGCAGAUAAAGGCGCUUGCUGCCAAGCCUGAAAGCCUGAGUUUGAGUCCCAGGACCCACAAGGUGAGUGAAGAGACAGAUUCCUAUAAGUUGUCCUCUGCCCACACAAACACAUCCCCCCAAUCUCUGUGUGUGCACGUCUCUCUGUCUCUCUGUUGCUAUCUUUCUCUCUCUGUCUCUCUCUGUCUCUCUGUCUCUCUCUUCUCUAAAUUUAAUAAAAAUGUUUUUAAGGCCCAGUAUGGCAAUAUACACCUUUAAUCCCAGCACUCAGGAGUCAGAGGCAGGCAGAUUUCUAUGUGUUCCAGGCUAGCCUGGUCUACACAGUAGUAAGUCCAGGCCAGCCAGGGCUGUGUAAAAAGACCUUGUCUCAAACAAAACAAAACAAAACCAACCAACCAAUCAACAACAAGAAGAAAUGUUUUAAAAUGAAUUUGAAAAUACACCAUAGGACUCAAUAACUUAAACAUCUGUCUGGUAAACAACCAUUUGAUAUUUUUAGUAAAUUUUAUUUUAAUACUACAGUAGAAGUACAGUAUAUUUAUGGUAUAUAAUGAUAUCUUUGCGUACUAUAUACUAUCAUACACAUAAGAACCACAUAGGAUCCAUACUGCUAAAAUACCAUUUUCCCCCCUCACAGCUAGGCCAUUUGACCAGGUUAAUUCAUCUCUAAUGCCAAUGGUGCUGGGCCACAGCUAGAGAGGUUCCAGGAAUAGUCAGUCAAAUGCCCUGCAGUGGCUCAGGGUGCAGCAGCUCUAGCCUGGCAGGAGCAGCACUAGACCUGGAAGGAGCGGAACAUCGUCUCUGUAACUUCUGCUCAUGUAACCUUUCAGAAUUUCAGCCUUCUCAUUCAUAAAAUGAGAAUAAUGCCAGGUGUGGUGCUCCCUGCCUGGAACGUCAGCACCGGAGGAGCUGAGGCAAGAGGACAAGAAUUCCCGGCUAGUGACAAAGCAUGAACCUAUUUCAAAAAA